GUCCCACGCGCGCCACCCCGUGCGUCACAGAAUGGGGCGGGAUGUUCCGCUGGCCACGCCCCUUAAAUAACACUCUGUGAAGCCGUGGUCUUCUUGCGCGGGAUAGGGCACCUGAGGAAGCGGGCUGCGCCUGUGGCACAGUGGUACGGGGCCGGAAGAUAACUUACCUGAAGAGGCGAUCAAUCCCUGAGAAUCGCGGGCGACCCGUUUUUUGUGUGCCCGGGUGCGGGGUGCCGGGACACGGCGUUGAAGGCGCUGAGCGGAGGGAUCUCAGGGCGAGCUCGAGCGGCGACGGCGCGCUCUGUGAUUGCACCGCGAGCGCCUGAGGUGAUCUCGGCCUACAUCGCGUCAGCGGGGCCUUGGGCGUGAGCACCGCCCCCUGUCCGGACGCAGGGUACUGGGGCACCUCGAACUGUGGCACCUCACCCUUCUCCGGGGCCACGUCUUGGGGACUCCGACAGCCCCAAAUAAGCCCUCGGGGACUGGGGUUGUGAAAAGCGAGGUCGUGAAGACGCCGGCCUCAUACCGAAGGGUAGGACGGUGAGGUCAGCCCCGUCCCACUCCAACUAAAAUCAACCUGACAGGAGGUGGUUCAGGAAAACGGUCCCAUUUGGCACCUCAAGUCUAGGUCCCUCAAGUCUCUACAACAGUAUGCAAAGAAAAUGUUCAUCUUCAUUCUUCUUAUAGUUUUCUGGUAACUUACUGAACCAAGCGCACACACACUCUCCAAGGACAAACAUUUUUCAGUGCUGGGACAAUGCAAAUUCAGCUCUCGGCAGACUACUACACACUGUGCAUGAUAUACCAAGACUAAAAGACUCAUAACCUACCCGCAGAAAGAGUGCAUCUUCCAUAGUAGCUCUGCAAAAAGAUCCAAAAGAAACUGUUAAUGGCCUGGCUUAAGUCAAAUUGUGUCCGGAAUUGGUGGGUUCUUCGUCUCACUGACUUCAAGUAUGAAGCCGACCCUCACGGUCAGUGUUACAGCUCUUAAGAUGGCGCCUCUGGAGUUUGUUCCUUCUGAUGUUCGGAUGUGUUCGGAGUUUCUUCCUUCUGGUGGGAUCGUGGUCUCGCUGGCUCAGGAGUGAAGCUGCAGACCUUCGCAACUUCCUUCCAGAGGAAGAUGUUGACUCUAAUGUAUUCUGUCUAGGAUGUGUUUCAUAAAUCUGGUUAGAAGAUUUCCCUUCCAGCAUCAACAAAUUGUUUUCUAAAUGUGGAAAAAGAGACAUUCAGUACAGGCUAACGUAACGUGGGACAGCAUGCAAAGCCAUGAGAAGUGGGAAAAUGAGAGAGAAUCUGGGCGUGGCUUACAGGGCUGCUGAACUUACCUUGUAUUCAUGAAGUAUGCGAUUUGUCCAGUGAGGUGCCUUACUUUUCAGUUUGGUAACAGGAGAAUCUGUACUAUUUCAGCAUGUCCUCCUCCAGCAGCAAAAUGAAGAGGAGA
Molecule: long non-coding RNA, 1441 nt
Filed under: Homo sapiens (human)
Lineage: Eukaryota; Metazoa; Chordata; Mammalia; Primates; Hominidae
Description: HSALNT0341972
Source: RNAcentral